This 29-nucleotide non-coding RNA is filed under the name Rattus norvegicus (Norway rat). Lineage: Eukaryota; Metazoa; Chordata; Mammalia; Rodentia; Muridae. The record is from RNAcentral.
UGGUGGCUCCUGUGCCUGACUCACCCGCU